AUCCAGCUGACGAGUCCAAAAUAAGACGAAACGCUCUCCCUGUAU
Molecule: non-coding RNA, 45 nt
Filed under: Schistosoma curassoni
Lineage: Eukaryota; Metazoa; Platyhelminthes; Trematoda; Strigeidida; Schistosomatidae
Source: RNAcentral